This 198-nucleotide ribosomal RNA is filed under the name uncultured bacterium. RNAcentral's name for it is "partial 16S ribosomal RNA". It matches the Rfam family "Bacterial small subunit ribosomal RNA", at positions 336 to 526 of the family's 1533-position model. The record is from RNAcentral.
CUCCUACGGGAGGCAGCAGUAGGGAAUAUUGCGCAAUGGAGGAAACUCUGACGCAGCGACGCCGCGUGGGUGAUGAAGGCUUUCGGGUCGUAAAGCCCUGUCGGAAGGAAGAAAAGCAUUAUGGCUAACAUCCAUAGUGUUUGACGGUACCUUUAAAGGAAGCACCGGCUAACUACGUGCCAGCAGCCGCGGUAAUAC